This 373-nucleotide unclassified non-coding RNA is filed under the name Plukenetia stipellata. RNAcentral describes it as "partial external transcribed spacer". The record is from RNAcentral. Lineage: Eukaryota; Viridiplantae; Streptophyta; Magnoliopsida; Malpighiales; Euphorbiaceae.
CAUGCUCGUGCGUCGAACUGUCGAAUCGCGGUCUCCUCAGUUCAAGCCAGCGUGCACGAUGUGCCCAGCGGGCAAAGGUCGGGUUCCUGUGCUGCGUGCCCACGCAAGCGGAAAUCGGUUCGUUUUUGUCUGACAUUUGCCCGAUGCCCGUUGAGGGCAUGAGGCGAACGCCGCGGCGCCUCCCGUGUUCCACCCGGGUCGCUUCGACCGUCGUGGCCCACGGAAGGUCGCCCGUGCUUCGGGAUGCGGAAGGCCUGGUGCGGUCGAGGGUGUCGCCUCUCGGCCGUGGAAAACUGUCCCUCAAACAAGAACGACCUACGGCUCCCGUCUCCGGCCCAAGGCGGAGCGGGAGUCCGGGGUCACGGAGGAAUGC